UACGUAGGGUGCAAGCGUUGUCCGGAAUUAUUGGGCGUAAAGAGCUUGUAGGCGGUUUGUCGCGUCUGCUGUGAAAUUUCGGGGCUCAACCCCGAACUUGCAGUGGGUACGGGCAGACUAGAGUGUGGUAGGGGAGACUGGAAUUCCUGGUGUAGCGGUGAAAUGCGCAGAUAUCAGGAGGAACACCGAUGGCGAAGGCAGCUCGCUGGGACGGUACUGACGCUGAGGCACGAAAGCGUGGGGAGCAAACAGG
This 253-nucleotide ribosomal RNA is filed under the name uncultured bacterium. RNAcentral's name for it is "partial 16S ribosomal RNA". It matches the Rfam family "Bacterial small subunit ribosomal RNA", at positions 524 to 776 of the family's 1533-position model. The record is from RNAcentral.